RNAcentral lists this ribosomal RNA (484 nucleotides) under uncultured bacterium. Its description in RNAcentral is "partial 16S ribosomal RNA". It matches the Rfam family "Bacterial small subunit ribosomal RNA", at positions 30 to 507 of the family's 1533-position model. The record is from RNAcentral.
AUUGAACGCUGGCGGCAGGCCUAACACAUGCAAGUCGAGCGGAUGAAGGGAGCUUGCUCCUGGAUUCCGCGGCGGACGGGUGAGUAAUGCCUAGGAAUCUGCCUGGUAGUGGGGGAUAACGUCCGGAAACGGGCGCUAAUACCGCAUACGUCCUGCGGGUGCAAGUUGGGGAUCUUCGGACCUCACGCUCUCAGAUGAGCCUAGGUCGGAUUAGCUAGUUGGUGGGGUAAAGGCCUACCUAGGCGACGAUCCGUAACUGGUCUGAUAGGAUGAUCAGUCACACUGGAACUGGGACACGGUCCAGACUCCUACGGGAGGCAGCAGUGGGGAAUAUUGGGCAGUGGGCGAAAGCCUGAUCCAGCCAGGCCGCGUGUGUGAAGAAGGUCUUCGGAUUGUAAAGACGGUUAAGUUGGGAGGAAGGGCAGUAAGUUAAUACGUUGCUGUUGUGACGGUACCAAGAGAAGAAGCACCGGCUAACUUCGUG